CCGGGGGGCUGCAGUGGGGAAUAUUGGACAAUGGGGGGAACCCUGAUCCAGCCAUGCCGCGUGUGUGAAGAAGGCCCUCGGGUUGUAAAGCACUUUCAGUGAGGAAGAACGCCUGGUGGUUAAUACCCAUCAGGAAAGACAUCACUCACAGAAGAAGCACCGGCUAACUCCGUGCCAGCAGCCGCGGUAAUACGGAGGGUGCGAGCGUUAAUCGGAAUUACUGGGCGUAAAGCGCGCGUAGGUGGCUUGAUAAGCCGGUUGUGAAAGCCCCGGGCUCAACCUGGGAACGGCAUCCGGAACUGUCAAGCUAGAGUGCAGGAGAGGAAGGUAGAAUUCCCGGUGUAGCGGUGAAAUGCGUAGAGAUCGGGAGGAAUACCAGUGGCGAAGGCGGCCUUCUGGACUGACACUGACACUGAGGUGCGAAAGCGUGGGUAGCAAACAGGAUUAGAUACCCUAGUAGUC
RNAcentral lists this ribosomal RNA (462 nucleotides) under Vreelandella stevensii. RNAcentral describes it as "partial 16S ribosomal RNA". It matches the Rfam family "Bacterial small subunit ribosomal RNA", at positions 341 to 795 of the family's 1533-position model. The record is from RNAcentral. Lineage: Bacteria; Pseudomonadati; Pseudomonadota; Gammaproteobacteria; Oceanospirillales; Halomonadaceae.